RNAcentral lists this ribosomal RNA (465 nucleotides) under uncultured Klebsiella sp. RNAcentral's name for it is "bacterial SSU rRNA". It matches the Rfam family "Bacterial small subunit ribosomal RNA", at positions 338 to 795 of the family's 1533-position model. Lineage: Bacteria; Pseudomonadati; Pseudomonadota; Gammaproteobacteria; Enterobacterales; Enterobacteriaceae. The record is from RNAcentral.
CCUACGGGAGGCUGCAGUGGGGAAUAUUGCACAAUGGGCGCAAGCCUGAUGCAGCCAUGCCGCGUGUGUGAAGAAGGCCUUCGGGUUGUAAAGCACUUUCAGCGGGGAGGAAGGCGUUAAGGUUAAUAACCUUGGCGAUUGACGUUACCCGCAGAAGAAGCACCGGCUAACUCCGUGCCAGCAGCCGCGGUAAUACGGAGGGUGCAAGCGUUAAUCGGAAUUACUGGGCGUAAAGCGCACGCAGGCGGUCUGUCAAGUCGGAUGUGAAAUCCCCGGGCUCAACCUGGGAACCGCAUUCGAAACUGGCAGGCUAGAGUCUUGUAGAGGGGGGUAGAAUUCCAGGUGUAGCGGUGAAAUGCGUAGAGAUCUGGAGGAAUACCGGUGGCGAAGGCGGCCCCCUGGACAAAGACUGACGCUCAGGUGCGAAAGCGUGGGGAGCAAACAGGAUUAGAUACCCGUGUAGUC